GACGAACGCUGGCGGCGUGCUUAACACAUGCAAGUCGAGCGGAAGGGCGCUGCGUUUGUGUGGUUCUCGAUUGGCGAACGGGUGAGUGAAACGUGAGUAACCUCCCCUUGACUUUCGGGUAACAUCACGGGAAUCGGGCGAAUACCGGAGAGGAGCUCCUGCUGCAUGGUGGUGGUUGGAAAGAUUCGGCGGUUGGGGAUCGACUCGCGGCUUAUCAGCUUGUUUGUGUGGUAGGUGCGGACCAAGGCUUUGACGGGUAGCCGGCCUGAGAGGGUGACCGGCCACAUUGGGACUGAGAUACGGACCAGACUCCUACGGGAGGCAGCAGUGGGGAAUAUUGCACAAUGGGCGGAAGCCUGAUGCAGCAACGCCGCGUGCGGGAUGACGGCCUUCGGGUUGUAAACCGAUUUCGCCGGUGCCGAAGAGUGAGUGACGGUAAUGGGUAAAGAAGCACCGGCUAACUACGUG
This 468-nucleotide ribosomal RNA is filed under the name uncultured bacterium. RNAcentral describes it as "partial 16S ribosomal RNA". It matches the Rfam family "Bacterial small subunit ribosomal RNA", at positions 28 to 507 of the family's 1533-position model. The record is from RNAcentral.